Molecule: ribosomal RNA, 278 nt
Filed under: uncultured bacterium
Lineage: Bacteria
Description: partial 16S ribosomal RNA
Rfam family: Bacterial small subunit ribosomal RNA
Source: RNAcentral
AACGAACGCUGACGGCAGGCUUAACACAUGCAAGUCGAACGCCCCGCAAGGGGAGUGGCAGACGGGUGAGUAACGCGUGGGAACGUACCCUUUACUACGGAAUAACUCAGGGAAACUUGUGCUAAUACCGUAUGUGCCCUUCGGGGGGAAGAUUUAUCGGUAAAGGAUCGGCCCGCGUUGGAUUAGCUAGUUGGUGAGGUAACGGCUCACCAAGGCGAUGACUAGGUAGCCGGCCUGAGACGGGUGAACGGCCACAAGGGGACUGAGACACGGCCCUC